This 1691-nucleotide ribosomal RNA is filed under the name Haemophilus influenzae. RNAcentral describes it as "bacterial LSU rRNA". It matches the Rfam family "Bacterial large subunit ribosomal RNA", at positions 591 to 2153 of the family's 2925-position model. Lineage: Bacteria; Pseudomonadati; Pseudomonadota; Gammaproteobacteria; Pasteurellales; Pasteurellaceae. The record is from RNAcentral.
GGGUGACUGCGUACCUUUUGUAUAAUGGGUCAGCGACUUAUAUUUUGUAGCGAGGUUAACCGAAUAGGGGAGCCGAAGGGAAACCGAGUCUUAACUGGGCGUCUAGUUGCAAGGUAUAGACCCGAAACCCGGUGAUCUAGCCAUGGGCAGGUUGAAGGUUGGGUAACACUAACUGGAGGACCGAACCGACUAAUGUUGAAAAAUUAGCGGAUGACUUGUGGCUGGGGGUGAAAGGCCAAUCAAACCGGGAGAUAGCUGGUUCUCCCCGAAAUCUAUUUAGGUAGAGCCUUGAGGUGACACCUUUGGGGGUAGAGCACUGUUUCGGCUAGGGGUCCAUCCCGGAUUACCAACCCGAUGCAAACUACGAAUACCAAAGAGUGAUACUCAGGAGACACACGGCGGGUGCUAACGUCCGUCGUGGAGAGGGAAACAACCCAGACCGCCAGCUAAGGUCCCCAAGUCUAUAUUAAGUGGGAAACGAAGUGGGAAGGCUUAGACAGCUAGGAUGUUGGCUUAGAAGCAGCCAUCAUUUAAAGAAAGCGUAAUAGCUCACUAGUCGAGUCGGCCUGCGCGGAAGAUGUAACGGGGCUGAAAUAUAGCACCGAAGCUGCGGCAUCAGGCGUAUCACUAAUACGCCUUACGAUUAACAAGCUAGAAUGGCGCGAAGCGGCAUGAAAGGUUGUUCAAGCAACCCGAACGUUGAGUCGGGGUAUUUUUGAAGUAAGGAUUAUUAGUGAUACGCCUGUUGGGUAGGGGAGCGUUGUGUAAGCGGAUGAAGGUUAAUCGAGAGGUUAGCUGGACGUAUCACAAGUGCGAAUGCUGACAUAAGUAACGAUAAAACGGGUGAAAAACCCGUUCGCCGGAAGACCAAGGGUUCCUGUCCAACGUUAAUCGGGGCAGGGUGAGUCGGCUCCUAAGGCGAGGCUGAAAAGCGUAGUCGAUGGGAAACAGGUUAAUAUUCCUGUACUUGGUAAAGCUGCGAUGUGGGGACGGAGUAGGUUAGGUUAUCGCACUGUUGGAUAUGUGCGUUUAAGUUGGUAGGUGGGAAGUUUAGGCAAAUCCGGACUUCCUUAACACAGAGAGAUGAUGACGAGGCUCUACGGAGCUGAAGUAACUGAUACCACACUUCCAGGAAAAGCCACUAAGCGAAAGGCUUUACUAAACCGUACUGAAAACCGACACAGGUGGUCAGGUAGAGAAUACUCAGGCGCUUGAGAGAACUCGGGUGAAGGAACUAGGCAAAAUAGCACCGUAACUUCGGGAGAAGGUGCGCCGGCGUAGAUUGUAGUCCCUAGCGGGCGAAGGUUGAACCGGUCGAAGAUACCAGCUGGCUGCAACUGUUUAUUAAAAACACAGCACUCUGCAAACACGAAAGUGGACGUAUAGGGUGUGAUGCCUGCCCGGUGCUGGAAGGUUAAUUGAUGGUGUCAUCGAAAGAGAAGCACCUGAUCGAAGCCCCAGUAAACGGCGGCCGUAACUAUAACGGUCCUAAGGUAGCGAAAUUCCUUGUCGGGUAAGUUCCGACCUGCACGAAUGGCAUAAUGAUGGCCAGGCUGUCUCCACCCGAGACUCAGUGAAAUUGAAAUCGCCGUGAAGAUGCGGUGUACCCGCGGCUAGACGGAAAGACCCCGUGAACCUUUACUAUAGCUUGACACUGAACAUUGAAUUUUGAUGUGUAGGAUAGGUGGGAG